RNAcentral lists this ribosomal RNA (487 nucleotides) under uncultured bacterium. Its description in RNAcentral is "SSU rRNA". It matches the Rfam family "Bacterial small subunit ribosomal RNA", at positions 26 to 524 of the family's 1533-position model. The record is from RNAcentral.
AGGACGAACGCUGGCGGCGUGCCUAACACAUGCAAGUCGAACGAGGUCCAUCCGGUAGCAAUACUGGUGAAGAUCAAGUGGCGAACGGGUGAGUAGCACGUGAGCAACCUGCCCCGAAGACCGGGACAACACCGGGAAACCGGUGCUAAUACCGGAUAUCCCCACCGAGUCGCAUGGCUUGGUGAGGAAAUGGAUUCCGCUUCGGGAGGGGCUCGCGGCCUAUCAGCUUGUUGGUGAGGUAAUGGCUCACCAAGGCUUCGACGGGUAGCUGGUCUGAGAGGACGAUCAGCCACACUGGGACUGAGACACGGCCCAGACUCCUACGGAAGGCAGCAGUGGGGAAUCUUGCACAAUGGGCGAAAGCCUGAUGCAGCAACGCCGCGUGAGGGACGAAGGCUUUCUGAGUUGUAAACCUCUUUCAGCAGGGACGAUUGUGACGGUACCUGCAGAAGAAGCCCGGCAACUACGCGCCAGCAGCCGCGGUAAU